Molecule: ribosomal RNA, 492 nt
Filed under: uncultured bacterium
Lineage: Bacteria
Description: partial 16S ribosomal RNA
Rfam family: Bacterial small subunit ribosomal RNA
Source: RNAcentral
AGUGAACGCUGGCGGUAGGCCUAACACAUGCAAGUCGAACGGCAGCACAGUAAGAGCUUGCUCUUACGGGUGGCGAGUGGCGGACGGGUGAGGAACACAUCGGAAUCUACUUUUUCGUGGGGGAUAACGUAGGGAAACUUACGCUAAUACCGCAUACGACCUACGGGUGAAAGCAGGGGAUCUUCGGACCUUGCGCGAUUGAAUGAGCCGAUGUCGGAUUAGCUAGUUGGCGGGGUAAAGGCCCACCAAGGCGACGAUCCGUAGCUGGUCUGAGAGGAUGAUCAGCCACACUGGAACUGAGACACGGUCCAGACUCCUACGGGAGGCAGCAGUGGGGAAUAUUGGACCAUGGGCGCAAGCCUGAUCCAGACAUACCGCGUGGGUGAAGAAGGCCUUCGGGUUGUAAAGCCCUUUUGUUGGGAAAGAAAAGCAGCAGGUUAAUACCCCGCUGUUCUGACGGUACCCAAAGAAUAAGCACCGGCUAACUUCGUG